CCCUGCCUGACAGGGGGGCAAACUCUUGGAGCACUGUAUAUGUUUCCAGCCUCAAGUUCAUUAAGAGCUAGAAACUUCAGCCACUCUUCUGGAGUGGGAUGGGGUGGUGAAUUGAAUUUGUACAGGUAGGUUCAGGACUGGACAUUUGCUAACUAAUCUUUCUUUCCUUCUUAAUUUCUCUGAGAACAAGAAAGUCUCCAAUAAGGUCAUAACAGCUGGCAAGACACGAACUGGGAGUGAAAGCUGAUCUGUUGAGAAGGGAGCUUAUUUUGAAUAGCCUUUUGAAAUGUGCUUAAUCUCUACAGUGUUGGUUAACCCCUUCAGACGUGUCUCGCUUUGUGGUUAUAUGUAGCAGGGCUGUGUUCACAUUCAAAGGAGCAUGCAUAAUCCAGCAGGUUGCAGCGAUAUCAAGUUCAGCAGGGGGCAGUCUUUGCUUUGAAUCGGCAUCUGUUCUUUCAGUCUGAUGCUCCAGAGUUUUCCACAGCAGGAUCCAAAAUCUUUCAUGUGACGGCAAAAGAAAGGUUUGAAGCACUGGUGGUUCUUAAACAGUCCUAUCAUGCCAUCAUUUGCAAAGGGAGGAUUGUUAACCCUUGCUCACUAGGUAGACCUCAUGCCAUAUAACAGCCAUUUGCCUUGUCCGUUUCAAGACAGCCUUGCCUUUUUAAUUUCUGAAUUGCUAGGCAACACUGCUUCACACUUUGACACUGACUUUUGGACCCCUUACUGUACCAAACCAAUGGCUUCAAGUUCCAAGAAAGGAGGGUUUGACUAAACAUCAGGGAGAACUUUCUGACAGUUAGUGUUGUUUGAUGGUGGAACGGACUCCCUCAGAAGGUAGUGGACUCUCCUUCCUUGGAGGUUUUUAAGCAGAGGCUGAAUGACCAUAUGUGAUGGAUGAUUUAGUUAAGAUUCCUGGGAGUUGGACUAGAUGACCCUUGGGGUCCCUUCCAACUCUACAAUUCUAUGAUUCUGUGAGGAUAUCCAUUUCAGAUGCCCGUAGAAAACUACUAGGACGAAACACACUGGCUUUCCUUUUCAAAGAGGUCCUGCAAACUUGGCCUUAGGUACAGAGGAAGCUGCCAUUUACUGAGUCAACUCAACAGUCCAUCUAAAUCAGCCUUUCUCAACCUGUGGGUCCCCAGAUGUUGUUGAACUACAACUCCCAUCACGCCUAGCUAGCAAGGCCAGAGCUCAGAGAUGAUGGGAGUUGUAGUCCAACAACAUCUGGGGAGCCACAGGUUGAGAACCGCUGAUCUAAAUCAAAACUGUCUACACUGACUAGCAUGGCAAGAGCUCUACAGGGUUUCAGAGUUUCAGAAAGCCUUUCCCAGCCCUACUCAGAGACUCGAGGGAUUGAGCCUCAGAGGUUCUGCAUGCAAAGCAGAUGUUUUGCCACUAAGAUAAUUUCAUGGCUCAGCCUUGCAGGCAGAUUCUUUCCUCCUUAUCUGUGGCCCUUUAAGAUUGUUCAUCUUCAAGAAAGUUAAGGGGCAAUAUUUGGUCCCAGCCCUGAAGAUGAUGGUGAUGUUGUUGUUGUAAUGUUUUCAUUAAAUUUUUACUGAAACUUUUUCAUCAUACAAUACAACAACAACAACAACAACAAAAACUAAUCUAAAGGAAUAAAUAAAUAAAUAAGGAUGAAGUGAAUACAAAGCCCUCUCUUGAAAGUAGAUCUGAAUGCUUGUCCUACACAGAAAGAGGUGAACCCUCUCAGCUCUCACCUGGGAGCUCCCCUUUCUUCUCCCAGUCUCCCACCCUGGGUUCCCUUCCCUGCCUCUCACACAGGGCACCCAGUCCUAAUUGAAGUAUUUUCCUUCACAGAGACAGUACCAGCCCUACCAUUAGGCAUCUACUUCAGUUGGUGGAUGCUGGGAGGUGCUUCUCCUGAGCUUCUCCAAGCACUCAUCUCUGUUGAAGGACAGAGCUGUGGGACACUCAGGCCUACACUAGCCUCAGGGAGAGUGGAGGAUAUUGCCAGUCUACUUGACUUUUGUACACAGAAGGGGGAAAGGGCACCAUCUUGUCUUUGCCUCAGGUAGUAAAAUAUCUUGAGCCAGCCCUGUCUGGGGAGAUAAUUUUAAAAGUUUCAACUUUAACUCUUCUCAGACCCAAAUAUAGUGAACAAACUGUUAAUAACAAUACAGAGAAAAGGGACAGGAAUGUUGGGUCACAGUUAGUAUCAAACCUUGCAUUGCAGAUUUGAAUGCUGGAUUUGCCCUUCUCACUCCUCACUGUUUGCUAUCUUCACGCCAACACAUAAUUCAGGCUAAAUAUUUGUGGUUCGUUAUUAUUCAGGUGUUUGCUUCGAUGCUGAAGUUCUAAAAUGAUAUAAACUGACAGAAGUGAGGGUUUAAGCUAUCAAAUUCUUCCAUCAAAUGCAUCCUAGCAAAGCACCUGUGAAGAAAAGAAAUAUGUUUCCAAAGAAGGAAUUUCAAAUAAAGGAAUCUAGCAGGGAUAGCAGGGAUGUUAAUACAACUCAACACUCAGGUUGCUGACUUCUCUAGAGACUUACACAGGAUUCUACAGAGCCAAUUCACCUCAGGAAUUCUGUGAUAGUUUGGCUCACUAUCUUACUCAUGUGAACAUAGUUACAUAAUUGUGCAGUCCUCGCUAGAGUGGCUAACCAUGUGGAAAAAAAUCUAGUCAUCUUUUUCUCUAUGGUUUCACUCAAUGUACUGGCACAAAAUGUCAUUAAUCUCCCUAUGUAGAGCAACCAUAUAUGCAAGGGAAGAGGCUAUGGAAAUGGAAGCCUUAACUUCUGCCUCACUGCUAACCAUAUUUGAGGGGAUAUGCUUCUCCAACCUUUUUUUUUUUUUUAGCCAUGUUGUUGUUUGUUGUUGUUUAGUCGUUUAAUCGUGUCCAACUCUUCAUGACCCCAUGGACCAGAGCACGCCAGGCACUCCUGUCUUCCACUGCCUCCUGCAGUUUGGUCAGACUCAUGUUUGUAGCUUCGAGAACACCGUCCAACCAUCUCGUCCUCUGUCGUCCCCUUCUCCUUGUGCCCUCCAUCUUUCCCAUCAUCAGGGACUUUUCCAGGGAAUCUUCUCUUCUCAUGAGGUGGCCAAAGUACUGGAGUCUCAGCUUCAGGAUCUGUCCUUCCAGUGAGCACUCAGGGCUGAUUUCCUUAAGAAUGGAGAGAUUUGAUCUUCUUGCAGUCCAUGCAACUCUCAAGAGUCUCCUCCAGCACCAUAAUUCAAAGGCAUCAAUUCUUUGGCAAUCAGCCUUCUUUAUGGUCCAGCUCUCACUUCCAUACAUCACUACUGGGAAAACCAUAGCUUUAACUAUACGGACCUUUGUUGGCAAGGUGAUGUCUCUGCUUUUUAAGAUACUGUCUAGGUUUUUAGACAUAGUCAACAACAAAUAUCCCACAAGAUUCAUCUAGCAUAAACAACACACAUGGCACUAUUAUACUUCAUUCCCCAUCUCAGGACCUAAAAACAUGGUCACCUUACCCUAAUUCUAAGUUACUUGGAGAGGGUAAUCAACACUGCCCAUUAGGGACGGGGGGGGAGAAAUUUGACUCAAUUUGCAUUUAAAGGUGGACCUACCAGGUCUGUACUUUCUGGAAAAAAGAUGAACUGAAAUACACACCUUUCAAAAACUCACACUUUUUCAGGGCAGUUCUCUAGCAAGGCAAUGCAUGCAGAAAUGUUUAUACCAAGGUCAAAUGUGCAUAAAUGUGUAUAAAAUAGUAUACGUUAGAAAACAACAUGCACAAUUAGGCAAAGUUGCUUUGCAAAAUUGCAUAUAUUAAGAGCAUCUUGCCCUAAAACGCUGCUGAAUUUUCAUGGGAGCUUUAAAAAAAAAUCCACUCAAACUGAUCUGGAAAUGUGGAGAAAUAAAGAUUGGAGAAAAGAGAUACUGAGGAAAAACCUGAAAUUGGAAGAAUCACCCAUCCCUACCGCCCUAAAGGGCAAUUGGGUCUUCUGGGAUAGAAGGUGAAGAAGUCAAAAGGAAAGAUCUAAUAAAGACGGGUAAUAUAGGAGAAGAGAAGAUGAUAUAAAGCAGAUGUACUCUAACGGAACUUCCACUGCAGUGUAAAAUGAAACAGGGAAAAUCCUGCAUUUGUAGACAUGACAUAAACUUGGAUUUGAACCUUUCUUCCUUUUUUCCACUUGUGUUUUUUUUUUGUAGGCACACUCAUUCGAGUAACUAAAAAUAGGUUCCUAAUCACAUUUCAGCACUGUCAGUACCCAUUGCCGAUGUCACCAUCUGUUAUUUGUUUUUUAACCCAUUACAUUGUAAGGCCUGUGCAGUCUGCUUUGUGUCGCACGCUUCCUCUAAUCCCAUGUCCUUUUGACUCACGCCCAAUCCCACUUCGCACAUGGCAACGCGAGGUACAAGAACAAUGAAUACAAAAGCCAAAUGAGUAUUCUUCUCUCCCUCUCUCGCUCCCCUCGUAUCAACUUCUCGUAUUGACUCUUUCUCGUAUCAGAAAGCUAUAAAGGGAAGAGAUGGAACUCGCAGUUGACCUCUCAAGUACUUUGAGAUUGCUUCAUGAUUUUGUCCAAAUUGCUUAGGAAAUAAGGUAGGCAGGAUGCUUUUACAAGCUUGUAACCAGCCAAUCUCCUGAACUGCUAUGGUUAGGUGAGUGGCUUUUGUAUAGAUACAUGUGACUAGGUGACUCUAUCACCCUCAAAUCUAAUUUAAAGCACUACUAACCAAAGAUCCGGGACGCGGGUGGUGCUGUGGGUUAAACCACAGAGCCUAGGACUUGCUAAUCAGAAGGUCAGCGGUUAGAAUCCCAGCAACAGUGUGAGCUCCCAUUGCUCGGUCCCUGAGCCUGCCAACCUAGCAGUUCGAAAGCACAUCAAAGCGCAAGUAGAUAAAUAGGUACUGCUCCAGUGGGAAGGUAAAUGGCAUUUCCGUGCACUGCUCUGGUUCGCCAGAAGCAGCUUAGUCAUGCUGGCCACAUAACCCAGAAGCUGUACGCCGGCUCCCUUGGCCAAUAAAGCGAGAUGAGUGCCGCAACCCCAGGGUCGGCCACAACUGGACCUAAUGGUCAGGGGUCCCUUUACCUUCACCUUUAACCAAAGAUCCCAAUGCAAGAUUCAACUGAGAGGUGUGCCUAAAACUCUCUUUCUCCCUGGCAGCCUCAAGAUCUUGCUUACAUUUCUCCACAAGGACAAGCUCAGAGUACCUGAGCUUUCUGCCUUGGGAUUCCAGGACUUUGCAGUUGCCUGGGGGGGGGGGCGGAAAUCACAGCCAAAUUCAGAAACAAUGGGAUGGCCACUCCCCAAAUAAUUAUUUGCAGUGUUGUUUGCUAUUUUACAUCUCACUGAUGUUGUGUGUGAAGACCGCCAAAACCACCCCCAAAUGAAGACACAAUAGACACAGAUUUUAUUUUAAGGUUUUUGGCAUUAAAUUUUGGGCACAACAUUAUUGAUUACAGCAUGUGAGUGGUUGCUUAGGCAUUGGUUCCAGACUACCUGAACCUGCACGGUGGCAGGAACAGGACUGACACUGGGCACCACCAUAUGUCAGUAAGGGAAAGCAUCCUGGGGGAGCGAGAACUUCUUCGAUCUCACAGCUCACCCCAGAUGCUCCCAGGGGAUCUGGUGUGGCCCUAGCCCCUUGGCAGGGUUCGGACAAAAGCAAAGCGAGCCCCUGGAUUCCUUUAACGGAAUUCCCUAGCAGCAGCAAUGGAGGGGCAGGCACAGCCAACCAUGUCCUCUCCCCAAAACACUGAACCAAUGCCUAACAGCCAACCUUAAAAAGUUGUGACGAUUUGCUAUACGGUAGGCAAAAACCAAGUGGCACCAGCCAAUCAGUCAAAUGGCAAAAUUCCUACCAGGGCCCUGCUUCAAAACAGACGACCCCUAGACAGGCAUAGCAAGGCCUUAAGAACAACCCUAAAUAUAGGGAGAGGAGGGCGGGUGAUCCGCUGCACGUCGCAAGAAAGUGAAACUCUCCAGCGACGUGCAGCAGCUUAAGUAGCCCCUCAGCAGCCAAUAGCCAACCCAACUGACGAAAUUUCUGCCCCAGCAACAGAGGGGCAACCAGUGGGGUGUUGUGGUCAUCCAAAUGGUCCCGCCCCACAACAGGGAGGCAGUUUCUUGUGAUCUCACUGCAACACCAUGAUGGAGGACCCAAUUUAUCAAAUUGGCACACACAAAAAUGCUACAUUUUGGAGAUGUUACCAAAUGUAAGCAUUUUCUGUCCUCGUACCCAAACAAGACCCAGGAUCAAGGUGGGAGCAGAAUCUGAUUUAAAGAGGAAAGGAGGGCAUGUAGCUAAGGAGGAUGAACCCAUCACCCAUCCUCAGCUUACCUAUUUUCUUCCAGGCAGGCUCUCUGCUGACAGUGGAUUAAGGCUUCAACUCUUGGAACAGCAAGAGAAGAAGUUUAGAGUGCUGUUGCAGAUUUUUUAUUGUGUGAUCUGCUUUAAAAGCUGCUGCUUGCUUUUAACUGCCAGACAUUUUGCUUAUUUGUUUGUUUUGCUUAUAGCUUGCAUGCUGUCACGUGUUUAGGUUGUACUGUACUUAUUGUAUUUUGUCAAAUUUGUGUCAGAUUAUUAUUUAUCAUCACCAUUCUUUUAGAAAGCUAUAUAUGCAGCCUACUUCAUAAUAUUAUUCUAAGGAUGAAGCUGGUUACAGUAAAGCACAAUGGACACUAGAAAUCACUGCAGAAUCAGCUAAUGGCCUGUUUAAGAGGAACAAAAUCAGCUUAUCCUAACAUCACAUAUUGGCUAUGAAAUGGCGUUUGUGCUGGGAAGAGUCCUCAUGACUUUGUGUAUUUUCCCCCGCCAAGUGUGUAAGUUCAAAAGAAUCCGAAUUGCAAUCAAAAUGGAAAAUUGUGUUGUUUUGAUGACCAGCAAAUAUAGACAUAUUUCUACUACAUUCUGAGUUCAGUGCGUUUAUCUGCUGCACUGUAAUGAACACUCGGGGGAAUGCUUUCAUCAACUGAAACCCUAAAUUAUAUUUCCAUUUCCUAAGCCAUUGGUAAAAUUGAAGUUAUAUACAAAAUUCCCCUUGGGGUGAAUUUGGGAGUACUUUCUCAGGUAAAACAUCCAAGGAAUUUUGAACAAAACAAAGUUUCAUUAAAUAAAAUCUGCUAUAAGGCUCUGAAUAAAAAAUUAAAGCAAAUUUUGGGAUGCCUCCUGAGGCAAAACAUAUGAGGAUUUUUUUUUAGGGAGCUCCUCUGAAACUGGUGACAUUUUUCACAAAGUUGGGGUGUGACACACUUCGCCUCAUAACAUGCUGUGUCUAAUUUGUCUCCCUCGCUUUUAUUCAUUCUCUGAUGGGUCGUGUGGUCUGCAGUUUGAGCCUGUGCCAAAAUGACAACUAGCCAACCAAUUUUUGUUGGUUUUGAUGAGUGUUUUGGAAUUAACCCAUCAGCUAAAUAGCCAUUCAAGGUGUGAGGCACAAGUAGAGAGAGAGAACUUUCUAUUAAGAGAUCAGUUUUUCAUGUUUGGUAUUUGGAGCUUCCAAGGUUUGUAUUUUUUUCCUGCUUUCUCCUUUAAAGUAUCAGUAACAAUAAUACAUUCUGAGUAACUGAAGGAGGUAAAAGAGGCCUGCAGAAAUAAAGCACCAAAGCAAUAUGCUGACGAGAGCGAUUAUGCCUUCUGCUCUUCUACCUUGAUGCUGUCUCUUGUCAUCCGUGGGGGAAUGAGCUCUGUGUUCCCUUUUGUUUGUUUACUGUGGGAAAGCACUAGCCAUGAAUCAAUGCAAUUUCUUGAUCUCCUGGGAAGCACAGAAUGCCUUUGUUUCUAUGUGCAGUCUUGUCCUUUAUACCUGUGAACCAGCAUAAUUACCGAAGGUCAUAUCAUGUUCAAACGGAACACAGUUUAUGAAACCCAGGGACAAAAAAAUACAGAAGAGAAUGUUUUCUGCAGGUCUGUCUCAUCUUGCACUACAAUAGAAUUAACUAAUGGCAAAGAAGAAGAAAUCUUUAUAAAGCAUACAAAGCAACAAAGGAACAUAAUCCUUGAGAGCUAUGAACAGGCUAAAAUGGGACGUUCAGACAUGAAUACUCGUCACUGUAAUUUGAUGAAGUAUUCCGCCUUGUUUAACCGAACACGGGAACCCAGGUCUAGUCUUAUUUUUCAUUAGUCUAAAAUUUAUUCCCUGCUUGUUGAAUGCCAAUUGGCAUUCCCAGAGCAGCUUAGAAAGAAGAAAAUAUACAAUAAGCAUGAAACGUAUCUAAAGCAGCAGCAAAAUCAUAGUGCGGCAGGGAACAACCUCCAGCCCCUAAACAAAACAAAAUUUAUUUCAGAGCUGCUUUGAGAAGUCCACUUAGUUUCUUGGUGUGUUGGCACUAUGUGCUGGUGAUGCCAUUCCUCUCCCAAACUGGCACAGUUUCUGGGUGUGGGGGCUUCCUGGUUGGCAGGACUGAAUAAUAAUACUAAGAAUAAGAAUAAGAAUAAGAAUUUAUUAUUUAUAGCCCAUCCAUCUGGCUGGGUUUCCUCAGCCACUCUGGGUGGCUUCCAACAGAGAUUAAAAAUACAUUAAAAUGUCACACAUUAAAAACUUCCCUAAGCAGGGCUGCCUUCAGAUGUCUUCUAAAUGUCAGGUAGUUGUUUAUCUCUUUGACAUCUGAUGGGAGGGCGUUCCACAGGGCGGGCACCACUACCGAGAAGGCCCUCUGCCUGGUUCCCUGUAACUUGGCUUCUCGCAGCGAGGGAACUGCCAGAAGGCCCUCAGAGCUGGACCUCAGUGUCCGGGUUGAACAAUGGGGGUGGAGACGUUCCUUCAGGUAUACUGGGCUGAGGCCAUUUAAAGGCUUUAGUCACUUGCCUCGCUGGCCAGGACCAAUCAUGGGUGGGCUUGGAGGUGGGCUUUUCUUGGGGUGGACUCAAUGGAACAUACAGGUUUCCCUUGGGUCCUAGGGGAUUGAAACCUGCUAGCUCUGAUCCUCAGUUUUGUGCUGGAGCUACCCCCUCCCCUUUUUUAUAAUGUCUUUCAUGUUGCAUUUUUGACCUUGUUAUGGCCUUUGUGGGCCAGGCAGGGGUCAUAAGUCAUAGGUCCUAGUUCAGGGCCAUAGUUCAGUGGGAACUCGAUGGAACCUUGGUCUUGUCUGGGUUCUAUGUUGCUUUGCAGUACUGUUUCUCCUAAGUGAACACAACUAUUGAAGUUCUCCCAACCCCUGAGGCUUUCUGGUAUUAGGGAAAGAUUUCGUCACACAGUGCGUACCCUUCCCCACCCCACAGGAUACUUCCGUCCCUACACACGUACAAAACUUCGACCGAAAUGUAUUGUUUCUGUGACUUUGUGUACCUAUUUAGAAGCCGAUCCCAUCUAAAUCUGCCUAUUUACAAGUCAAUCCUACACAAAUCUCUGUGUAUUUAUAAAAGCUCGGGCAAGUCACAUAAUUUAUUCAGGAGAGUUGCUAACAGCUUUGCAAGAAAGCUCAAAUUGGCAGACUGAAUGCCUCUACACAGCAGGUUGAUUUUUAUUAUUUUUUUUAAAAAAGAGUAAAAUACAAUAUCUGUGGGUUUUGCAUGCCGCAGAACUGCUAUAAGGAAAGAGCGUUGCUGCUUUGCAUUAUGUACUAUUGCCACGAGAAAGUCCUCAUUAUUUGUGCCGUUUGUGAUUAAGCCUUAAUUCCAGUGAAAUGGGUUACAUAACAAGGCCUCACAUUAUUUGCUAAGCUACCCAGACACUGACCUUCUCACGUACUGUUUGGAAAGCGCACUUCACUCUGUCAGCAAAUAUCUUCGUGCCGCAAUUGCUAAUCAUCAUUUUGGCAAAUAUGUUCUGUUCUGGUACCUCUGUUGUGAAACAAACUGGGAUCAGGAAGGGGUUUUAUUUCCGGAAAAGGAACUAAUGUUUUUCCACUCAUCCUAUAGAACAUUGCAGCCUGUCAGAAAUAGGCACAGUUGGAGUUACCUGUUGUUGCUUCUUCUUCUUUUGCACACUGCUUUGGGAUAUCUUUAAAUAUAUUAAGUAGCAUAGAAAUUAAAUAAUCAAAGCAAUCAAACCAAAUGUAAGAUCAAUAGAUAUAUGUAUAGACUGAUAAAUAUGGUGGGUAUUUCAGUAGUUAGAAAUGAAAUAUUCAUUCCCCCUCCACAAUUAUUCACUUUGUUUGUUUGUUUAUUAUUGUGAUUAUUGAUAUUCUUUUCUGCCCCAGCUACAAAAAAUGUUUCGUGUUGUCUCUGGAGCAAAUAGCAGUUUUGCAUGCUGAGAGACAACUCCUCAUUUGAAAUCCAUUCAAGGUACCGAGCCACAUUCACCUUUGGAGUGGGGAAAAUUCAGAAGGUGGGAUACACACUCCGAAAUACCCCCUUGAAAUUAAUACAGUAUAUAUACAAUAUUUAUUUGUAAGGUGCUUUGAUACUCCUUGGGGUAGAAUACGAGGAAUAAAUGCAAUAAAUGGUACGAUUAAUACUGUAGGUAUUUGAAGGCUGGUUGGGAUGCUUGAAACUCUCCACACGGAUCAGAGAUGCAGCCAUGCAGAGAAAGCAACAUCUGGCUCAGCCUCACUAAAGGCCACCAUUUUACCAUGCCACCAAAUUCACAUAGAUGGCUACUUGGAACAGUGUGGGCUUCCUAGGAGGGAUAUCACUUCUUCCACUUGCUGGCACCCAUGGGGAUGUGUUUUGUGUAGGGCAGGGAUAGCCACUGUGGUGCCCUUCAGAUGUUGCUGGACCACAACUCCCAUUUUCCCUGAGUUUUGACCAUCGGCUGCUCCAAGUACAGAGGGUUUUAGAGUAUUUAAUUCUAAAGUGGGUUUAAGAAUAUGUUCUAAGGCAAUACAACAACAACAACAACAACAAACUGCUUCCAUCUCUUUCUCCUUCUCCCAUCUCAAAAUAUCCCAUUUAUAAAACACCACUGUUUGCUUUGCCUUUGAUUCUGGACUACCAGCUAUUAAUACUCUCCAGCACUAACUUACCCAGCCCAGUGGCAGCCCCCUCUUCUAUGGAAAUCAUUAUCUCCAGCUGAAAUAUUGUGACAGACGAACAGAAAAUGCUGUCUUGCCCCUGCUUAAUAGCAUUACCCAAUCCUCCUCAUUUUAGGUUUAUUGAGAAGUUUAUUUUUAUUUUUUUAUGCCUCUGCACAAUUACAAAAAGAAUCUGCUAAUGCCUAAUGGGACUUAAUCUCUCCAACUAAACAAGGGAGCAAAGCAAUAAAUUCCCCCAAAUUGGAUUUACCCAUGAGAAAUAAUGAAGGAAAGGCGCAUGGGUAGCCCCAGCUAUACACCCGGAAGACUUUAGCUUUCCCUGCCACUGAAUAUAUGACAUAACAAAGAAGGAUAUAUAUGCUCCUUUUUUCUCUCCUUGAAGAUAACUGACUGGAAUCCAGAAAGCAAGAUUUUUGCCACAAGGAUUUAUUAAUCCAGGCAAGUUUAAACAUAGCACUGUAGAUUACAUGGGAGGAUGCCCUUCUCCAGCACUUAAAAGAUAAGAGGGGAGUGCAACUGCUUCAAAGUGCCUUUUUUUGCUGCUUUCCAAGAAGAGAAUUGAACGGAGAUUCAGUAAUUUGGAGGAAGGCUAAGGAUGCUUCCAGACUCUUGCAGUUUUUGAGUGGGAUCCAAACACAUGCCAGCAAAUUCAGGCCAUGCAAUUAAAGCUGAUUGGGAGCUCUUGCACAAUCUUUUUGCUUCUCCAAAAGAUCUAAUUUUAUUUUUAUUAUUAUUAUUACAAUUAGGAAAGUGAUGCCUCAAGUGCUAGGCAGUGCUACUCACACCUAUGUCCAGGAAGACAUGCGGGCAUCUGAAUGCAAGUUUUGACAUUAAGCAGAGGUCUGCAUUGCUACUAAAUAACUGUUGGUAGUACAUAAGAAGGAAAUAUCUGUGUAUUACCCAGCACCAGACCCCCUCCCUACUUGGUUCUGUUUUGUUUUGUUUUUAAACCUAGGUUGGCACAAAUAUUUUCCUUUCUAGACCUUAUCCAAGCUGGCGCAGGGAAGAGGGAGCCAUAAAGCAAUAUCAGUGUCGCUAGGGGAUGUGUUAUAUUAACAGACAAGAAACAGCUUCGGAAAGGAAAUAUUCUGUUCCACUUAAAGUUUGAUACGCCAUCUUCUCAUUUUGGGGUAUUCGUUUUUUAUGCUGUACAGUGGUAUAAAUCAUUUUUAAUAAAUGCAUAAUCAAAUAAUUCUGUAGCAUAGGAGUAGCAGCAUCUGGAAAACUGCUAGCACAAAGCAAAUGCCAUUUAAAUCCAGAAUUGAGCUCUUGCACUAAAAAAAAAAAAAAAUAGUUUGCAGGACUCUGCCCUGGUGAGUUGAGAUUAAGCCCUGUGUCUGACCUGACCUGCCUCUUGCCUGUAAAGUCCCCACCCCCUUUUAAUCUGAGGAUUCUGGAAGUGUCCCAUCAUGCUGAUGCUGUAAAUCAGGAGUGAGGAAUCUGUAGCCCUCCAGAGCUUGUAGGACUACAACUUCCAUCAUCCCUGGCCAAGCUGGCUGGGACUGAUGGGAGCUGGAGUUCAACAGCCCCUGAAGAGCCUUAGGUUCCCUGCCUGCUCUAAAUCACCCAUUUCUGGAGAGUUUCGCCCUGUAAAAUACCCUACAACAUUUCCUUGAUAAAAAUAAAGGUAAAGGUAAAGGGACCCCUGACCAUUAGGUCCAGUCGUGACCGACUCUGGGGUUGCGGCGCUCAUCUCGCUUUAUUGGCUAAGGGAGCCGGCGUACAGUUUCCGGGUCAUGUGGCCAGCAUGACUAAGCCGCUUCUGGCGAACCAGAGCAGCACACGGAGACGCCGUUUACCUUCCCGCCGGGAAGGUAUCUACUUGCACUUUGACGUGCUUUCGAACUCCUAGGUGGGCAGGAGCAGGGACCGAGCAAUGGGUCACCCAGUCGCGGGGAUUCGAACCGCCGACCUUCUGAUCGGCAAGUCCUAGGCUCUGUGGUUUAACCCACAGCGCCAGCCGCGUCCCGCGUUGAUAAAAAUAGGGACGUUCUAUUCCAUCAUCACCAUCAUUUUAUUAUUUAUACCCCAUCCAUCAGACUGGGUUGACCCAGCAACUCUGGGCAGCUUCCAACAUAUAUAAAAACCAUAAUAAAACAGCAAACUUAAAAAAACUUCCCAAUGCAGGGUUGCCUUCAGAUGUCAUCUAAAGGUACAUAGUUACAUCUCUUCUUGUCUCAGGGGUUGCAUAACUCCCUACCCUCCAGCAUUUCUCUGAUUAAAUGGGGACAUCCUACCAUACCCUUCAGGGAUGUGGGUGGUGCUGUGGGUUAAACCACAGAGCCUCUUGGGCUUGCCGAUCAGAAGGUUGGCGGUUCGAAUCCCCGCAACGGGGUGAGCUCCUGUUGCUUGGUGCCUGCUCCUGCCAACCUAGCAGUUCAAAAGCACGUCAAAGUGCAAGUAGAUAAAUAGGUACCACUCUGGCGGGAAGGUAAAUGGCGUUUCUGUGUGCUGCUGUGGUUCGCCAGAAGCAGCUUAGUCAUGCUGGCCACAUGACCCGGAAGCUGUACGCCGGCUCCCUUGGCCAAUAAAGUGAGAUGAGCGCCGCAACCCCAGAGUCGGUCACGACUCGACCUAAUGGUCAGGGUUUCCUUUACCUUUACCUUUACCAUACACUUCAACAUUUCUCUGAUGAAAAUAGGGAUUCCCUAAAGAAAAGCAGGACAUUCCAGGGUCACAUCAGAAAAACUGGGACGGCUUCUGUGAAUCCAGGAUGGUCCCUAGAAAAUAGGGACACUUGGAGGGUCUGCUUUUAGCCUUAUUCUGACGCUUCUUGCUGAAUAUUUUAAGGUUUAAUUAAAAAAGAAUCAAAACGAUUUCUUUCACAUGAUCUCAUUCCUCUCCCACACACCGCCUCGUCAUUUAAAAAUAUGUAUCUCCCCCACCACCUACCAUGCUAUCAGCAAAUCAUGUGCUACCCAAGAGAGGUACUGUUACAUAAUUACACACAACACACACACAAGAGGGAGGGAGGGAAGGAGGAAGAGAGAGACUGACUAUUGUGGUGUUAUAAUUAAAGCCACAGAUGUUGUGGUAUUAUGGCAAACCCCACACAGAUUCUGCCCGCCCCAACUUUAUUUACAGCAUUGCCAAUCUGUAACCCUGCCGCAUUGCUAGUGCUUCCAGCGCCCAGGCAAACAUCGUGUCAUCAUUAAGCAUUUAGAGCAAACCAGCAACGAUUAAAGAUUUAUAAAUCUUAUUGGGUUACACGGCAAGGCACAAGAACAAGAAUAAACCCCGAAGUCAACUUUUAUUUUUGUUCCAGAACAACGGCAACACAGAGACAUCCUUUAUGAACAGAGGGUGCGUGUAGAGCCUCUGGUUGCUUAAUUUGGAUUUAUAAUGAAAAAACAUUUUGUCUGGGGACAUAGGAUUCCUAGGAAUGAUGACUUACCAGUAAACUUCCUUUUAUUUUCCUUUUGGUUCUGCUCUGGCUCUCCUUUAUAUUUAAAACAAAGGUCUGUUGGCUGUGUGUGAGGUAUCUAGUGAUAUGAAAGGUUUGCCUCUGGUAUCAGUGAUAUCAGAAUUUACCUAAAAUAGUAAAUUCCUAGCAAUGGCUGUGUGGGUCUUAACUUUAUCAUUUACUAUAAGAAGAAAGCUAAAGACGUAUAUUGUUGCCCUAAGUACCGAUUACAAAGAAAGCUUGUUUUCCACACGUGCCCAAUCCUGGCAAUAUUUUACUUCAAAUAAACCUUUGCCCUUGAUUGAGGCUGCUUCUUGUAAACCUAGUGUGAAUUUUCCAAGGAAGCAUGAUUAAAAAAAAGAAUAUUGAUGCAGACAUGGUGACUGAGGGAUAAGGGAUAUAAAAAUCAACACUGCGGGGAUGGAAAAUUAUGUGGAGAGGGUUGAUAGUGCCAUGCUACUUGUGAAGCCAUUGCAAAGUACACAAAUGUACUCUAUUAAAUGUUUUCACUUAGUACAGGAAAUUACCGCUCAGCUAAUGAGUACAACCACAUAUAAAACCAAGUCCCAAGGUCACCUGUUCCUCAAAUCAAAGUCCCUGUUCACUUAUUUCCAGCUCUGUUAAGAUCCAGUGUGUGUUUUGACUUUCCUGGUCUUAGGAAAGACUCCCAGGUGGAUUUAUUUCCUGGGCAAUUGCCGAGGAUUAUGGGAUGUGUUCUAGAGCGCACAGCUGAAAUGGGCCUGUUGAACCCCAUCGUCACAAGGGAUGGGAUUCACAACCAUGUAUGUACUCAUUUGUUUGUUUUUUUCUCACAGUGACACAGGAUAAGCUCAGUUCAUUUUGGUCCACAGCUCGUAAAACUGCAUGUCAGCUUAGCCUGCUCUCACGCUUUGUAAAAAUGAUAUAGCUGACAUUGAUUCUGCAGGCUGCGUUGCGAGAACUCCUUGCGCAACAGAUUUCUCCACCUGCAGUUCUGCUGCUGUUCACUAUUACCCAUGGUCAUCAUGUAACAAUUUGCAUAUCCCCAGGGGUAUUAUAAUUUAUCUUGCUGUGUCUUUGUGCAAUACAAACAAAGCAACAGUCUCAUCUCUUUUAAAUUUCACCUGCAAUUUCUUCUCCUUAUUUUGGUCUUCAUGCGAGCAACAAAAUGGUAAAUAGAAUAGGAGAGCAGAGUUAGGUUACUGACUGCUGAGUAGGCAUGUGAGGAAUGGAUUUCUGGCUAACCCAGUAAUGUAAAUAAAUGGUAUUAUUUUUAUUAUCAGCUGUUGGAAUGUCAAUGCCAUCGCGGUGAACUGCAUGUAUUCAUGUACAACUUUUACAAAAACAAAAAGAAAAAAGACCCUGAGUUGCCCUUCUCCUCCCCCAUCCCACAAAUAAUGGUAGGAAACAAGAUUAAAAACAUACCAAUGAAUGUUAACGGCUACUGUUAUUGCCUCAAUUAAACAGAGUUAAAGGGAACACACAUCAGCAGCACAGCAGAUCUGACACUGAAAUGGUUUGCCCAAUUAUAAUAGCCUGGAUCAAUAAGUUGUUUGUCAGUAUCAAUAUUACUUUUCAUAUUAAUCCCAAUAGAAUUUCAUGUAAAUCCACUCAUACAAGGUGAUAGCCAAUGUCAGUCAUGCUCAGGGAGGACUUACUGAAAUCAACAGAUUUAAGUAAUGUUAUGAGUUUGUGGUGUUAAGCUGGGUACCAGUCCCCUCUAAUCAAUGGAUCCAGUGAGGGUUAGAAUUUAACCAAGAAUUUAACCAACUUCUAAUUCCUGGAAUAGCCAGGCUAGCCUUUUUGGUGAGGCAAUAGUGAUGAGCCAUUAAAAGGGAUUAAGGGGCUCAGUGCAAGAUGGCAAAGGGGUGAGGUCCCCUCACUCAACAGAAAAAGGCAGAGUUUGAAGUUGAAAGUGGGGGUGGUGUGAAGCAGCAAGUUGGAGAGUCAGAACAACAUUUGAGAGCAUUGUUUGAUUUCUGUUUGAAUCCAAGGCUGCAGCUAUGGGAGAAACAAGACCCUUCUGGGAUGUUAAUGCUGUGAGCCCCUCCAUUGCAAGUUCAGAUUGUAUAUAUGGGUAAAUAAACCUUAUAUCAUAAAGACACCACAGUCUCCGCUGUGCCUCAUUUCCAAAAGGAAAUCUGAACCCUUGCUAAGCGCUUGGAAUCCCUGGAAUCUCGCAUCACUUGGAGAUUGGGGUGAUAUGCAACAAGAAUUUAACUCCAUUGAUUUUUAUGGGCCUAACACUGAGUGUGACUUAGUUGGAUAUCACCCAUUGUUUAAUUAGGUUAGGAUAAGUUCCAAGAUUGGUGCCAUUUAUCCCUUCACAUAGCGUUUUGCCGCUGCUCAUUUUGUGCAACCAUACCCUUAAGUUAUUUCCCUGCAACUCUAUUAUUAACAUAUCUUUAUCCCCCCAAAAAACCCUCCUGCCUCCGCCUUUUCUUUUCCAAAUGUAGUAUUUUAAUUUUUGUGUGCCUGCUUCUUGAAACUUUCCUUCUGAUUAAAUAGCAAAUGAAUAAUUCCAAAGUAAUUAACAUGGAUGUUAUUGGAUGUACACUGAUGAUUACAUUAUAGGACUGGUUAUCAAAGGAUUACAGCUAAGAGGUUUAAUAUUCUCCAGCUGAUCCCGUGGCAAAUUAAUCUGGCCUGACCUCUAAUGUUCUUUGUUAUGUCACCAAAGUAUCAUUUCAGCUGCAUCAUCCCUUACUCAUUUAAAUAAUAGUGAUGAUAAAAUGAACGUACUCUGAAACUCCAGAAUGCUAUUUUUAGAGGAAGAUGUCAUUUUGUGUGUUUGUACUGACUACUGAAAACGCGUGAAAUUCUAACAAAUCCACUGUUACAAACCCUGGCAUUCACAGCAACUGACUCACUAUUACAGAAGAGACAGGAGUAGUUCAGAACACCACUGAGGCCAUAAUGUUCUUCAUGAAGCUCAAGAACAUAAGGGCAAUACAUGAUGUAGUCCUGCUGCAUUAUAUAGAUAUGAUUCACUUGAAGGAAAGAAAGAGUAGGAAUGUUUGGGUAUAAGAACAUUUUGUGGGUCUCCGCUUCAUGAGCGCAUGGGCGUUUUCCACAGUAAUGGGCAAAAUCAAGACACACGGGUUAUGUAUUUGCAUGUUCAGACCCAGAAACCUCCCCUCUAAAUAAAUUCACACUUGACUCAAAUUUUGGCUUUGGUUUUUGGCAGAAUUUAGGCCACAACUUUAUUGAUUACAGAAAGUGACUGGUUGCAUAGGCUCUGGUUCGACUAGCUCCCUGCCAUGCAGGUAGCACUGACUCAGGGUUCCAGCAUAGGUCAGCCAAGGGUGAACACCUGGAUAAGCGGAAAGCUGGGAACAGGCUCUCUCCACCACACAAAUGUCCCCCUGGACUCAGGCACGGGCACAACCCCCUCUCAGGGUUUGACCAAACCAUUGAGUCCCUGGAUUCCUUUAAUGAAAUACCCUUCACAUAGGGAUGGUGAGAGCUUUCUCCCAUCCCUAUCACCUGAACCAGAGCCUAUCCACAACCUUACAAGUUGUGACGAUUUGCUACGUGGCAGGCGAAACCCAAAUGGCAACAGCCAAUUAGCCAAGUGGGGGAAAUUCCUGCUGUGGCCCUGUCCCAAUGACACACGACGGCAUAUCAAGGUCAAGUGCAAAGCCCUAAAAGUAGGGAGAGGUGGGUGGGUGUUCUGAAUGCAUGCACCAAAAGAGGAAGCUCUGGGUCACGUGAAUAGGUAUAUAUAGGUCCCUUGAUCCAUUUAGCCUGCCUCCCAUUGGCCAGAUUGCAACCAGCUUUGAGGCACCUACCAGUCAGGUGCUGUGGCUAUCCAAACGUACCCACCCACAACACAGGGUGUCAGUUUUCCAGGUCUCCCUGCAAUACAUGCCCUCUUUAAGGGAGGACCCGAUUUUUCACCAUGUAAUUUGGCCUAAAACGGUGCACAUUAAAUACAGGAUAUCCCCUUAUAAUUGCUAUAGCAAUUAUAUGAGAGGAUUCGGCAAGAAUACCUUUCAGGUCUCUUACAACUCUAUUAUUAUCUGCAGUUGCUCCCAGUCUGUGGAAUGCUCUCCCCAGGGAAGUUUGCUUGACACCUGCAUUAUACAUCUUUAGGCACAGGGCAAAAAUGUUCCUUUUUAACCAGGCCUUUGGUUGAUCUGAUUUACAUCCUAUGCCCUUUUAAAAUGUGGGGGUUGGGGGUUGGGAGGGGACUAUUGGGUUGCUGUUUUUAUUUUUAUUAGGUAUUUUGUGGUUUUAUAUCUUGAUUUUAUUCUGUGAACCGCCCUGAGACCCCCAGGUACACGGCGGUAUAUAAAUUCAAUAAUAAUAAUGAUAAUGAUAAUAAUGAUAAUAAUAUUCUCUGGGUACCAUUGUCUGGUGAAGCAUUAAGAUCAAGUAAUGGAAGCUGGUUAGAUUUGCCAUGGCCUAAUGAUUAUUGCUUUCUUGCAAUAUAGAGGUGAGCUGUUUCAUUGGUGCCAUGACCGUUGUGGAAUGAUCUCCCUGCUGAAAUAUGAGAGACCCCAUCAGUAACGGCACAUUAAUAGUUAAAUCAGUAUAAAAUAACCCUACAGUUAGAUGCUUAGAGGCUUACCAAUGGACUUGGAAGUCCCACUCUUUUCAUUCAAUCUCAUCGGGAGAUAAAGCUGUCUGUCUGCUCUUUAGUUAGUGAUCUCUAAGGAGCAGACAGAGUCCUUUAUCUUUUUGCACGAAGCACCACUGGUGCUAAGAUUGGAGAUAUAGCCUGCCUAUUCUUUAAGAUAAUGGGACGCAGGUGGAGGUGUGGUCUAAACCACAGAGCCUAGGGCUUGCUGAUCAGAAGGCUGGCGGUUCGAAUCCCCACAACGGGGUGAGCCCCUGUUGUUCGGUCCCAGCUCCUGCCCACCUAGCAGUUUGAAAGCAUGCCAUGUGCAAAUAGAUAAAUAGGUACUGCUCCGGCGGGAAGGUAAACGGCGUUUCCGUGCACUACUCUGGUUUGCCAGAAGUGGCUUAGUCAUGCUGGCCAGAAGAGGAGGAGGAAGAGGAGUUUGGAUUUGAUAUCCUGCUUUAUCACUAGGCUAAGGAGUCUCAAAGUGGCUAACAUUCUCCUUUCCCUUCCUCCCCCACAAAAAACACUCUGUAAGAUGAGUGGGGCUGAGAGACUUCAAAGAAGUGUGACUAGCCCAAGGUCACCCAGCAGCUGCAUGUGGAGGAGCGGAGACACGAACCCUGUUCACCAGAUUACAAGUCCACCGCUCUUAACCACUACACCGCAAUCACAGAACCUCCAAAUGUCCCUAUUUUCCAGGGACAAUCCUGGAUUUACGGAAGCUGUCCCAGUUUCUGAUUUGAUCCUGGAAUGUCCCGCUUUUCCUUAGGACGUUCUUAUUUUCACCAAACAAAGGUUGGAGGGUAUUGUAGAACAUCCCUAUUUUCUUUGGAGAAAUGUUGGAGGGUAUGAAGUUAAGCGACCCCUGAGCCAAGGAGAUAAGUACCUAUGCAACCUUUAGAAGAUAUCUGAAGGUAGCCCUGUAUAGAGAAGAUUUUCAAUGUUUACUGUUUUAUUAUGUUUUUAUAUAUGUUGAAAGCUGCCUAUAGUAGCUGAAACAAUCUAGUAAGAUUAUUAUUAUUAUUAUUAUGGAAUAGAAUGACCCUAUUUUCAUCAGAGAAAUGUUGAAGAGUAUAUAACCACGCAUCCUAGCAUUGGCUGUGUGAAGAUUGAUCCUCCAAAUCUCCUGCUGGCAACUCAAUAUCAGUCUGGCUGUACCAUCAGAAACUCCAAAAUAAAAGCUGCGUACAUGUACAUCUCCAAGCUUGUCAUCUCCUCUUGCUCGAGAACAAGUGGCCAUGAGAUGAGAUCAGUCUCAUGACUAGGUUAUAUAAAUGUGAAAUAUAAGCAACAUGUGAUCUUGAAUGCCGGCUCCACUGGAAUUCAUGUAAAGCAUCUCACACUUCACUCACCAGAAGCAGAAUGUUGAUGCUGCACAGACAUGAGAAAUAUUGUUAACAAGUGAAAGCCCAUAGACUCGGCUAAGGAAAAUAGCUCCGUUCAAAGAGCACAAUGUGCUCAGAACAGAAUUCUGCAUUUGGCCAAUUGUAACAGCAUUUAGAUACAUAUUCAAAGCCAAUAAGGGCCACUGAGCCAGUACCUAGAUAUGGAAUCCUCCAUCCUUAGCACUCUUUUGAGACAUAUUUUAAAGCAGUCACCUGUAUCAUAUUUACUUAUCAUUUAUUAUUUCAACACUUGCCCUGUCUUUGUGCACAAAACACCCACUGCAACCAAGAACAAUAAAACAUGAAAUUGCAAUAUAAUUUUAAAACAUUAAAAAAGAGAGAACAUUGGAUAUUUGUGCAUCUGAGAAAUCCAUCCGAGGUGAUACAUUUGAAGACCAAAUUACAAUCCAGCAAUAGCAGGAAUAGGAAAGGAUUACAUCACAGAAAACUUUCCUGAAUUUUAUGCUGACUCAUGGUUGCACAGCCAAACACUAAGAAAGAGGAUGUGGGGACUUUUUACCUGCAGAAACAAGAAUGUUGCUUGAUCAGUGCUAUAGAAAAGGAAUUAAAGUGCAACUAGGGGAAUUACCAAAAACUCUACACCGUAUAAUUAAAGUAUAAGGGUUUGAAUUGCUUUUUGUUGCACAGUGUUGGGAUUUUUGCAGAACUGGGGAGGAAAGGCAGUGAAAGGAAAAGGCUAAUUGAACUCACAGAACAUAAUCCUAAUCCUGCUAAAAUCAGUGAAACUUGAUAUUUAUGGGACUUUCUGUCAAAUUGUACCCAUAGAAGCUAAUAGGGCUAUAGCAGUUAGGGGGAGAGUGACAACUGAAGUUUCAAUGUUUCAGACCUUUUGCAAUACAGUACCUGCCUACAAAAUCUGACAUUUCAGUGCAAGUUUGAAAACUAGGCGUUUCCUCAUGUUUUGGGUGGGGGGAGAGAGGGAAUUUCUAUGGCACUAAGUUAAGGUGGCCCCAUAUUUGCAGAUCUGUUUGAUAGCAAAAGAAAGGGGGGAAAGGUAAAGGACCCCUGACAGUUAAGUCCAGUCGUGAAUGACUCUGGGGUUGCGGCGCUCAUCUUGCUUUACAGGCCGAGGGAGCUGGCGUUUGUCUGCAGACAGUUUUUUCAGGUCAUGCGGCCAGCAUGACUAAACUGCCUCUGACAAAACUAGAGCAACACCUGGAAACGCCAUUUAUCUUCCCACUGGAGCAGUAACUAUUGAUCUACUUGCACUUUGAUGUGCUUUCAAACUGCUAGGUUGGCAGGAGCAGGGACCGAGCAACGGGAGCUCACCCCGUCACGGGGAUUCGAACCGCUGACCUUCCAAUCAGCAAGCCCAAGGCUCAGUGGUUUACACCACAGUGCCACCCACAUCCCUCUAGCAAAAGAAAAGCAUUGAGUUUAACAGUUUCCUUGUCCGACCAGUUCCAUCUUCCCACCUUAAACUGCAAAACUACAAUCUGAUUAUAAACUAGCAAUUUGAGGUUGGCAUUUGAAGGGAAAGAGCAAAAGAGUCACACUUGUUACAUAAGGUGGAAUGAAACACAGUAGGUGGGUAUGUGAUGCUCAGGAAUAAACAGGGUGGGGGGCUGCUCCUCAAGGACCUCCACAAACUAAACUGCCUUAUGUCCUCUCCCCAUUUGCUUUUCUCAAACGCCCAUAGCUGAUGCUUCCCAGUUCUGGAACAAGGCACCAGUUAUGCCCCUGCACCAAAGAGGCAGGCCUUGGAGAUUAUUCCCAGAUGCUUUAGCACUUGAGUGACAGAUUAUAAGACUGGGCUAUAAAUAUAAUGCUUAAUACGUAAGCUUGGGUGGCUUGCUGAUAACUCUUUGGAAAAGUCUCAUUAGAGUAAAUGCUGGCUCCAUUUAUGUAAGUAUUUUUAAGAAGCAAACAAGCAGCCUGCUGUUUUACAAGUCAAUUGAUUCUAUUAAAGUUUUAUUCCCAUUAUAACUUCAUCCACCUGAAGCUGCUGAACAUCAAGACAGGCUUUAUUAAUGACAGUAGUUGCAGUCAUUGCUAUUAUUUGCACUUAUAUACUGCUGUGUGCUUUCAGGAAGCUAUAAAAAUAUUGCCCAAUUCAAUGCAACGUAAUGCCAGGAUUAUGCCACAUUAAAACUGAUUUUAUUUUAAUUUUUCUUUGUUCCCUAUUCAUAUUUUUUGUAAGCUAACUUCAUCCUUUACUGCUCUCAUCGCUCCUCCCUCUGCUGUCUAUCACACAGUCAAAAUUAUAUUAUAAACUCCUUGAUUAUUCAAACCAGUUCUGUGCCAAAAUUACUGCUUUGGGGGGUUUUUUUUGUGUGUGUGUGUGCUUUUCUGUGCAUUCUCCCAUCAGUUAAAGAGAAAAGAAACUGCAUUUGAAAAUUAUUAAAGGGGAGAGGAAAUCUCAGUGAAAUUCUCAGGUGGGCUACAGGGUUUUGGUUGUGUUCGUCUUAUUUUGGGAGUGUUUGUGAGUGUCCUUUCUUUCAUUCUAGAAACCAUCAGGGAAGUAUGACAUAAGGAAACUCCUCCCAUGGGUCUUUUUUUCAGAAUUGGAGGUGCAGCUGACCAGGGAGGUGAGCAAUGCUUAAUGGGCAGAAAAACCAGAAGACAUAUUGCAGCACUGAACUAAUUAAAAGAAUGACAUCUGCACCUGACUCUUUUGCAUUGACUUUGAAGUAAUGGAUUUUGCAUGCAUGACCCACAAGGAAGAGAAUUAGUGAGAAUACAGAGGCUCUCUCUCUCUUUUGCAACCUUGCAGAUACAGUGGUACCUUAGUUUAUGAACUUAAUCCAUUCUGGGAGUCCAUUCUUAAAUCAAAGCAUGCUUUCCCAUAGCAGCAGGGGGACUCAAUUUACAAAUGGAACACACUCAACAGGAAGCAGAACAUGUUCUGCUUCCAAGGCAAAGUUCACAAACCAAAACACCUACUUCCGGGUUUGCAGCGUUCUUAAUCCAAGUUGUUCAUAAACUAAGCUGUUCUCAAACCAAGGUACUACUGUACAAAGAAAGAACAGAAGAGGUUGAAUCCAGGGUGGUGUGCAUUUUAUUAAUACCAUUCACACACAAAACUGGAAGACCUUUUCCGACAUGCCUGGCACGGCUGCAACAGUUUGAUGAGGCAAUUAUAAGUGGCUACAAAGUUAAAUUUGGAAUUGUGAUUUCAUAUUAUUAUCAGUGUCGCGGUGGCAGCUACUCCUUUCAACUGAGAUUUCAGGUUUCUGACACCCUAGAGCAGAACAUCGUAUUCUCAAAGGCACUGAAAAACUUAUCCACAUGCUAGGGUUGACCCUGAUCAUUGUUUCCUAGGGAGUUUGCCUGGCCUUGCCAUUUACCCAUCUUAACAGUUUUAAAACAAAGCAUACAGAGAGAUGGCUGGAAGGCAGAGGAGGCUAGAGAUGUAUUGUGCCUACUGUUGCAGUGAAUGAAUAAAUUCCAGGUGUUUGAUGAUAUGCAAGCAGUGGUCUUACCUAGACAGAUGAUUUAUAAGGCACAGGGGGGGCAGCCAAACGACAGCAAUGUUGUCCUAGUUACACUCUGAGGUUGCCGAUUUGGUGAAUAUGAAAGUUAAAGACACUCCUGCCCCAGUUUCAAGGGAAUCCUACAUUUCUCAGACGUUUUGGGCACUUUGGAAAAUAUUCACUUCUUAGGUCUUGCUCCUCCAAAUACAAGGCGCAGGUGGAAAAGUUAAUUAAGAAUAACAAAGUCCACCUUUGCCAGAAGUGAUGACAGAUCUGUUUCUUUAGCUGGUUUGGUACAUGUUUUCUUUGGGAAACAAGAGCCAUUGAACAGAUUUGUGUUACAAGAGUAACUUUCCUUUAUAAUUAAUUAAUUGAUGACUUAGUUAAUCCAUUCUGUGCGAUACAGUCACUUUGACAGCAAGCAUUACAAUCCCUUUGUCAGGUUGUUAGUGACCGACCACUGACUAAAUGCAUGACUCGGUUGGUUGUUUUUUUCUGUUUGAGAAAAUAGGCCACAGAAAGGAACCCCGAAGUGCAAAGGAAAUAAAAUGUUUUGCUUUCUUUAUGCAAUCUUUAAAUUCUUCCAUCGCCAGAGGUCUUCCUGCAAAUCAGCUGUGUCUUUAUUAAAGCGCAAAAUAAAAGUGGGACAAAGUCAUUACCAAAUGUAUUCGGAGUAAACUCAGGGCCCAUGGGAUAAGAGGACAGGACCUUUUGUGGACUGGUAUCUGAAUAAAGAACAGGAAGCAGGGGUCAGGGUUACAUGGACAGGGAAGUAAGCACCAGGGAUCCCCAAGGAUCUGCAUUAGUAUUCAAGCACAAAGAAAGUGAGCAGUUAGGUAGUCAUGUUUUUUGGGUUGAUAAAAACCCAAGCAGAUAGCAGAGAGCUCCAAAAGGAUUUGAGGGUGUGGGUGGAAAACAACCUGGCAAAUGAGGUCCGCUGCAAAUGUAAAGUGGAGCGUAUUAGGGCAAACCCUCCUGACUUCCAGCCUUAGGAAUUAUAGGGUGUUUUCUAGUAAUGUCAAAACGAAAAAGAGAUUUUGGGAGUAGCCAUGGAUGGCUCAACUACAAUAUUGUCAAUGUACCGUGGCAUUGAAAGAGGUUAGUGAUGACAAGCAAAGGGACUGGAAAUAAUGUAGACUUGAUCAAAAUGCCUUUGCACUUAUAUAGCAGUAGGCCUCAAUGGUCCAAGGUACCUCAUAAAGCAGUGGGCUCAUUGUCAAAUCUUUUAUUCCCAUCUGCCCAGUGGAGGGGGACUACUUUGCAUUAAACAGCAUAUAGCUCUAUUUUGGGAACACAGCAAACUCCCAGUGCACUUAUGGAUUUUCAGUGUCUCUGUUGCAUUUAAAAGCUGCGAAAAGGUCCAUCAGAACGAUGUUGUUCAAGCACACCUCCUUCUGAGAACACAAUCGAUUUCUCAUUUUGUACUUGGUUCCAUCCAAAAUGAAAACUCUUCCCGGUCUAAAAUCCAUUUCCUUCCACUAAGGCUGCAUCUUAUGCAAACUUUCCUGUGCUCAGAUAUAGCAGGGCUUUCUUCUGUUGCAAAGUAUUGCACCGCAAGUUUCUGAUAUCACUAAGCCAGAGGUUUUCAACCUUUUUGACUCCACGGCUCCCUUGAUCAACUACAUUCUUUCUGCGGCACCCCUGUGGGGCUCAGGAGCCCAGUUAUGUCACCCCUUGCCUGCAGAGCUGGCAGCCCCUCACCCUUUUUCAAACACCCUCCCUUGUGGAGUGUUGCCUCAGGCACUUCUCGUAUUCCCUCUACAGUGGUACCUGGGGUUACAGACGCUUCAGGUUAAAGACUCCGCUAACCCAGAAACAGUACCUCGGGUUAAGAACUUUGCUUCAGAAUGAGAACAGAAAUGGCGCAUCGGCGGCGCGGCAGCAGCAGGAGGCCCCAUUAGCUAAAGUGGUGCUUCAGAUUAAGAACAGUUUCAGGUUAAGAACAGACCUUCAGAAUGAAUUAAGUGCUUAACCCGCGGUACCACUGUACUUGGGAGUCCUCCAGGCAGCUGCUGCCCCUGAUCUCUGAGCUGUCCCCACCCCACCCCAAAGAGAAGCGCCUCUCUGAGGCACCAUUCAUCUGGGGAGGUUGCAGUCAGGGCUGCUGCAACAAACAGGUGUGCAAGCCUUUGGGAGGCAAAGACAAGAGAGGACAUCAGAGAGAAAGGGGAAGAAAGAGGGACAGAGGACAAUGUUGCCCGCAGCACACCUGACCAUCAUUCAAGGCACCCCAGGGUGCCAUGGCACACUGGCUGAAAACCACUGCACUAAGUUUCCAAAGUUUAACUAUAACUAGACUAAAGUAGAAGCAAAUUGGAAUGGGUAAAAUCAUGCAAAAAAAUGACAAAGAUGACCAGAAAUAUUCCCCAUCCCUGACUAGCAAAUCCUUUAAAGGUAAAGGGACCCCUGACCAUUAGGUCCAGUCGUGGCCGACUCUGGGGUUGCGGCGUUCAUCUCGCUUUAUUGGCCGAGGGAGACGGCGUACAGCUUCCGGGUCAUGUGGCCAGCAUGACUAAGCCACUUCUGGUGAACCAGAGCAGUGCAUGGAAAUGCCGUUUAUGUUCCCACCAGAGCAGUACCUAUUUAUCUACUUGCACUUUGACAUGCUUUCAAACUCCUAGGUUGGCAGGAGCAGGGACUGAGCAACGGGAGCUCAUCCCAUCACGGAGAUUCGAACCACCAACCUUCUGAAAUAACAUUCGUACAGGGCUUGAAGGCUCUAUGGUUUAACCCACAGCACCACCCGCGUCCCUUUUAGCACAUCCUUUAGAAUGAAAUAAAAAUCAUGUCCAAACAGGAGCAGAUAGGAAACCAGGAAAAGCACAGAAAUGCGGAAGGCAGAGAUAUUGCAAACAUCUCUUCCCUGCCCCCCUUAGUGCAGGGACAUUUGCAGUGAAAAUAAAAAAAUUGGUGCCACAUUAGUGUGGUUAUGUCAGAUCUCUCAAGUGAGGGAUCCUGGUCCAGAAAUAAUUCACAUUUACUGGAUUAUUCAUGACAUCUUAGUGGGUGUUCAAAGCAUCUGGCUUCUUCUCGUUUAACAAAUAUGAAUUUUACAUCACGUUUCAUUCAUUUAAAUCACAUUUUAAUAUUGAGUGUUGACAUAUUAAUUUAGAACGAUAAGGAAAUAGUCGUUUGUAUUGGGUAAAAUAAGUUCCAUGCGUGGUGUGUGGUUUUUUCAUGCUUAAUCGGUUCAUAUCUUGCCUGCACAAAAGAUAACACAAAUGAAGUGUGUAUCUCCUUUCUUUCCAACUGUGACUGACCUAUAUUAACCUGGCUAUUUAAUACCACAGGUUUCACCUUUCCAACACAAAAGGGACAGAGGUUGGCUCCCUCGCCCCACUUUCCUAUUCUCCCUCCUAGCUCUGUGUUGUUUGCAAGAAUGGAACACACCAUUGUUUUCCACUAAUGAUGCCUCUCCGAGCUGAUCAGGUUAACGGUGGGUAGCAGCUGGAGUUUAAUUUGUGAGUGUGCAAAUGAAAAUUAUACACUUACUGAAUUACUGCAUCUCACCAAGAGGUUGGCGCACUGCCGGCUUCGCUUCAAAAAAAGAAAUAACAUUCGUACAGGGCUUGAAGGAAUUAUUGGAAGCAUGCUAAAUUUUGUUACCAUAGUGGCAUUUGUUCUGAAUAAGUUGGUGUCAAAGGGAGAGAAUUACUUAGACAUUCAAGUGCUUAAUUUGGGGAGUUUAUCACUCAUCUCCCCCUACAAUAAAUUAAUGAAUGUAGAUCUAAAUAUAAUUCCCAUUGCCAUAUCACAGAGAAUAUCCCCAUGGUACUAAUAAGCCCCUGGCCAACCCGAGACACUUUUCUGCCUAAGGCAAAGGACAAAAUAGAGACGCCACCCCACAAUUCCAUGACAGGACUUGUUGUUUAGUCAUUUAGUUGUGUCCGACUCUUCGUGACCCCAUGCACCAGAGCACACCAGGCACUCCUGUCUUCCACAGCCUCCCUCAGUUUGGUCAAACUCAUGUUCGUAGCUUCUAUAACUCUGUCCCACCAUCUCGUCCUCUGUCAUCCCCUUCUCCUUGUGCCCUCAAUCUUUCCCAAUAUCAGGGUCUUUUCCAGGGAGUCUUCUCUUCUCAUGAGGUGGCUAAAGUACUGGAGCCUCAGCUUCAGGAUCUGUCCUUCCAGUGAGCACUCAGGGCUGAUUUCCUUCAGAAUGGAUAGUUUUGAACUUCUUGCAGUCCAUGGGACUCUCAAGAGUCUCCUCCAGCAUCAUAAUUCAAAAGCAUCAAUUCUUUGGCGAUCAGCCUUCUUUAUGGUCCAGCUCUCACUUCCAUACAUCACUACUGGGAACACCAUAGCUUUAACUAUAUGGACCUUUGUCGGCAAGGUGGUGUCUCUGCUUUUUAAAAUGCUGUCUAGGUUUGUCAUUGCUUUUCUCCCAAGAAGCAGGCGUCUUUUAAUUUCAUGCUGUCACCAUCUGCAGUGAUCAUGGAAAAAGAACCGGCAAGCCACUCCAGUAUCCCUGCCAAGAAAACUCCAUGGACAAUAACAACAGGAAUAUAAAAGUUAUGACGCUGGAAGAUGAGCCCCUCAGGUCAGAAGGUGUCCAACAUGCUACUGAGGAAGAGCGGAGGACAAGUACAAGUAGAUUCAGAGCUGAUGAAGCAGGUGGGACAAAGCCCAGUGGUAGGGCCUGCUCUGGUUAAGCCAAAGAGGAGGGCUGUGAAAGUCAAACUAAGAGGAGACCUAUGCUUCAGGUUUCACCUGAAUCUCCCUAGAAUAUGAACCAUUUUUAGGCCUGCAUUAGAGAUGACACAUGCUCACGGUCUAGGACCCUUGUACCUACAGGACCUCCUCUCCCGGUAUGCCCCACGGAGGACCUUAAGGUCCCUAAAUAGCAACACCCUAGAGGUCCCGGGCCCUAAGGAAGUCAGAUUAGCCUCAAGCAGAGCCAGGGCCUUUUCAACACUGGCUCCGGCCUGGUGGAAGGCUCUGUCUCAUGAGACCAGGGCCCUGCGGGAUCUGAUUUCUUUCCGCAGGGCCUGUAAGACAGAAUUGUUCUGCCUGGCCUUUGGCUUAGAAUCAAUUUGAUUCCCUCCCCCUCUUUCUUUUUU
Podarcis lilfordi (Lilford's wall lizard) is the source of this 28665-nucleotide non-coding RNA. The record is from the annotation of a GenBank genome assembly. NCBI's taxonomy places the organism in Eukaryota, Metazoa, Chordata, Lepidosauria, Squamata, Lacertidae.